GGCCGCAGUAUAUUAACUGUGCAAAGGUAGCAUAAUCAUUAGUCUUUUAAUUGAAGGCUGGUAUGAAUGGUUGGACAAGAUAUUAACUGUUUCAUAUAAAUUUAUUAUAAAAUUUUAUUUUUUAGUCAAAAAGCUAAAAUUAUUUUAAAAGACGAGAAGACCCUAUAAAUCUUUAUAUUUAGAUUAUUAUAAAUUUAUAGAAAUUUUUAUUUAUUAUAAUUUAUAAUAUUUUAUUGGGGUGAUAUUAAAAUUUAAUAAACUUUUAAUUUUUAUUUUCAUUAAUUUAUGAAUUAUUGAUCCGUUAUUAGCGAUUAAAAAAACAAGUUACUUUAGGGAUAACAGCGUAAUUUUUUUGGAGAGUUCACAUUAAUAAAAAAGAUUGCGACCUCGAUGUUGGAUU
Molecule: ribosomal RNA, 400 nt
Filed under: Aplomya confinis
Lineage: Eukaryota; Metazoa; Arthropoda; Insecta; Diptera; Tachinidae
Description: partial 16S rRNA
Source: RNAcentral